This 888-nucleotide ribosomal RNA is filed under the name Triticum aestivum (bread wheat). RNAcentral describes it as "partial small subunit ribosomal RNA". The record is from RNAcentral. Lineage: Eukaryota; Viridiplantae; Streptophyta; Magnoliopsida; Poales; Poaceae.
AUGCAGGACAUGUUUCAGAUGAGUGACCUUGAUCGCCUGACUUACUAUCUGGGUUUAGAAGUGAAGCAGGACAAGGAUGGAAUCAGUGUCUGCCAGUCCAGCUAUGCUAAGAAGAUUCUGGAAGAUGCUGGCAUGGAUGAGUGCAAUGCCAGUCAUACACCACUGGAAAAUUGCCUGAAGUUGAGGAAGAACCAGGGAGGAGCAGUGGAUGCAACUGAAUAUCGAAGUCUCAUUGGGAGCCUGCGGUACCUGGUAAAUACACGACCAGAUAUUGCAUAUGCAGUGGGGCUCCUAAGCCGUUUCAUGGAAGCACCAGGAAAGGAACACUGGAUAGCAAUCAAGCAAGUUCUGAGGUACAUCAAGGGCACUCUUAAUCUUGGGUGUAUCUACAGAGCAGAAGGGGAAACUGUUCUCACUGGUUUUAGUGACAGUGACCAUGCAGGAGAUCUUGAUGACAGGAAAAGUACCACGGGUAUUGUGUUCUUCCUCGGUUCAGGUGCUAUUACUUGGUCCUCCCAGAAGCAGGAGGUGGUUGCAAAAUCUUCAUGCGAGGCUGAGUAUAUAGCAGCAGCUACAGCAGCAAGUCAGGCUAUAUGGCUGAGCAGACUGCUUGCUGAAAUGCUAGGUACAAAGGUUCAGAAGGUCAAGUUGCAUGUCAACAACAGAUCUGCAAUUGAACUGAGCAAAAAUCCGGUGCAUCAUGAGAGGAGCAAGCACAUUGACCUCAGGUAUCACUAUAUCAGAGAAUGUGUUGAGCUGGGGCGAGUGGAUGUCGUUCAUGUCAGAACCGGAGAUCAAGUUGCAAACAUUUUCACAAAAUCCCUUGGAAGGAGCCAGUACGCUGAGCUACGGCACAAACUAGGGGUGAUUCAGUGUGUGGCAGAUUAG